Podarcis lilfordi (Lilford's wall lizard) is the source of this 78-nucleotide non-coding RNA. The record is from the annotation of a GenBank genome assembly. NCBI's taxonomy places the organism in Eukaryota, Metazoa, Chordata, Lepidosauria, Squamata, Lacertidae.
GCUGUAGUUCAGGGGUAUAGCAUCUACUUUGCAUGCAGGAGGUCCCAGGUUCACUGGGUUCAAUCCCUGGCAUCUCCC